This 1483-nucleotide ribosomal RNA is filed under the name Helicobacter pylori. RNAcentral's name for it is "bacterial SSU rRNA". It matches the Rfam family "Bacterial small subunit ribosomal RNA". Lineage: Bacteria; Pseudomonadati; Campylobacterota; Epsilonproteobacteria; Campylobacterales; Helicobacteraceae. The record is from RNAcentral.
AGAGUUUGAUCCUGGCUCAGAGUGAACGCUGGCGGCGUGCCUAAUACAUGCAAGUCGAACGAUGAAGCUUCUAGCUUGCUAGAAGUGGAUUAGUGGCGCACGGGUGAGUAACGCAUAGGUCAUGUGCCUCUUAGUUUGGGAUAGCCAUUGGAAACGAUGAUUAAUACCAGAUACUCCCUACGGGGGAAAGAUUUAUCGCUAAGAGAUCAGCCUAUGUCCUAUCAGCUUGUUGGUAAGGUAAUGGCUUACCAAGGCUAUGACGGGUAUCCGGCCUGAGAGGGUGAACGGACACACUGGAACUGAGACACGGUCCAGACUCCUACGGGAGGCAGCAGUAGGGAAUAUUGCUCAAUGGGGGAAACCCUGAAGCAGCAACGCCGCGUGGAGGAUGAAGGUUUUAGGAUUGUAAACUCCUUUUGUUAGAGAAGAUAAUGACGGUAUCUAACGAAUAAGCACCGGCUAACUCCGUGCCAGCAGCCGCGGUAAUACGGAGGGUGCAAGCGUUACUCGGAAUCACUGGGCGUAAAGAGCGCGUAGGCGGGAUAGUCAGUCAGGUGUGAAAUCCUAUGGCUUAACCAUAGAACUGCAUUUGAAACUACUAUUCUAGAGUGUGGGAGAGGUAGGUGGAAUUCUUGGUGUAGGGGUAAAAUCCGUAGAGAUCAAGAGGAAUACUCAUUGCGAAGGCGACCUGCUGGAACAUUACUGACGCUGAUUGCGCGAAAGCGUGGGGAGCAAACAGGAUUAGAUACCCUGGUAGUCCACGCCCUAAACGAUGGAUGCUAGUUGUUGGAGGGCUUAGUCUCUCCAGUAAUGCAGCUAACGCAUUAAGCAUCCCGCCUGGGGAGUACGGUCGCAAGAUUAAAACUCAAAGGAAUAGACGGGGACCCGCACAAGCGGUGGAGCAUGUGGUUUAAUUCGAAGAUACACGAAGAACCUUACCUAGGCUUGACAUUGAGAGAAUCCGCUAGAAAUAGUGGAGUGUCUAGCUUGCUAGACCUUGAAAACAGGUGCUGCACGGCUGUCGUCAGCUCGUGUCGUGAGAUGUUGGGUUAAGUCCCGCAACGAGCGCAACCCCCUUUCUUAGUUGCUAACAGGUCAUGCUGAGAACUCUAAGGAUACUGCCUCCGUAAGGAGGAGGAAGGUGGGGACGACGUCAAGUCAUCAUGGCCCUUACGCCUAGGGCUACACACGUGCUACAAUGGGGUGCACAAAGAGAAGCAAUACUGCGAAGUGGAGCCAAUCUUCAAAACGCCUCUCAGUUCGGAUUGUAGGCUGCAACUCGCCUGCAUGAAGCUGGAAUCGCUAGUAAUCGCAAAUCAGCCAUGUUGCGGUGAAUACGUUCCCGGGUCUUGUACUCACCGCCCGUCACACCAUGGGAGUUGUGUUUGCCUUAAGUCAGGAUGCUAAACUAGCUACUGCCCACGGCACACACAGCGACUGGGGUGAAGUCGUAACAAGGUAACCGUAGGUGAACCUGCGGUUG